RNAcentral lists this long non-coding RNA (1187 nucleotides) under Eucalyptus grandis. RNAcentral's name for it is "long non-coding RNA (EGRA_LNC006100)". Lineage: Eukaryota; Viridiplantae; Streptophyta; Magnoliopsida; Myrtales; Myrtaceae. The record is from RNAcentral.
UUAAAAUUAAAAUUAAAAAAAACUUUAAAUUAAAAAAAAUUAAAUUAAAAAAUCUUAAUUUAAAAAUUUUAAAAACUUCCAUAUUUAAAUUUUAAGUUUUUUUAAUUUAAAUUUUUUUGAUUUAAAGUUUUUAAAAUUUAAAUUUUUUUAAUUUUAAGUUUUUUUAAUUUUUAGAAUAUUUUAAAUAAAAUGAAGUUUAAAUUAAAUUUAAUUAAUUUUUAUAUUAAUUAUUUACACAUCAGACACAAAACGUCGUCAUUUUUGCAUUUUCUCACCACGUCAGCGUGCAAAACGAAGCCGUUUUGCACCCAACUCGCCGGAAAAUUGCCACAUCAGCCAUUCGGUCGGAUUUUUGCCAGAGUGGCACUUAAGUGUUCUACUUUACUCCGAAACUGGCACUUAAGUGUACCUUUCCGAAGUUAUAGUACUUAAGUGUCCUUCCAUGCCAAAUUAUGACACUUGAGCUGUUCUUCUACCCUAAGUUAACCACCCUUAGCCUUCUCAAGUUGCCGAAAUUCAGGAGGUUCUUCUUACCUGAGAAAUACUCUAUGAUAUUCCCGUGCUCCGAGGACUCCCCAUCCUUGCAAGUCUUGAGAAUACAGAGCUGUGGAGUAGAGCCAGACCAAGUCCUAGGUGGCAGGCGUUACUACGAAGUGAAAAGAAUUAUGGUAUUCCUUCAAUAUUUCAUUGCUUUGGUUUGGCUCUCUGUUCCUUUGAAUCGAAAAUUAGUUUGUAUUAUUAGCUAAGACACAAUUCUCAAUGGGAGCCACACGUGUUCUACAUCACGUGGCCCUCUCUCUUCCUUUCUCUCUCUCUAGUUCUCUUUCUUACUCUCUUCAACUAACGAUCUAUCUAUUCCAUUUUAUCCAUCCAGCAACAGUUGCCGCGAAGACUCCGUUUCAAGAAACAGAGAGCAUCGAAGGCUCUCGGUUAUUCUAGUUGAAUCAUUUCCUCUCACUUGGCUGCUCGUCGUCACCGCUUCCCAAUCACCACUUGUUCCGCUGCCGCGAAGAAGUUCUAUAAUGUCGGAGUGCUUGAACUUCGGUCACGACUGCCUACUUCGACGAUUCCAUCCCUUGAUGUUGCUUCUGUUAUUUCUUUACUCAUAUCCGAUCUCAAUUACUAUAGCUAAUCGUUCUCUAUUCAACUAAACCAUAUAUGCUCUGUUUUUUCGUUCCUAUUCUACU